GACGAACCGUCCAACCGUUAUUCGGAAUCACUGGGCUUACAGAGUUCGUAGGCGGUCUGGAAAGUUGGGUGUGAAAUCCCUCGGCUCAACCGAGGAACUGCGCUUGAAACUACCAGACUCGAGGGAGAUAGAGGAAAGCGGAACUGAUGGUGGAGCGGUGAAAUGCGUUGAUAUCAUCAGGAACACCGAUUGCGAAGGCAGCUGGCCAACUUGUAACUGACGCUGAGGGACGAAAGUGUGGGGAUCAAACAGG
Molecule: ribosomal RNA, 253 nt
Filed under: uncultured bacterium
Lineage: Bacteria
Description: partial 16S ribosomal RNA
Rfam family: Bacterial small subunit ribosomal RNA
Source: RNAcentral